AUACAAGGAGAAGAAAGUUAUAAUCCGUUUCUGCUUGCAGAAUAAGGUUUAUAACUUUCUGAUCCGCAACAACAUGAGCAAGUAGUGAUUUUGGAAAGAAAAUCAACGGAUUGCGAAUGUUGUAGAAUUGCGGGAGUUGUGAAGCAACGGAGCAAUUCGU
Molecule: small RNA, 160 nt
Filed under: uncultured Agathobacter sp.
Lineage: Bacteria; Bacillati; Bacillota; Clostridia; Lachnospirales; Lachnospiraceae
Description: Clostridiales-1 RNA
Rfam family: Clostridiales-1 RNA
Source: RNAcentral